RNAcentral lists this small RNA (1069 nucleotides) under Pan troglodytes (chimpanzee). RNAcentral describes it as "processed transcript". The record is from RNAcentral. Lineage: Eukaryota; Metazoa; Chordata; Mammalia; Primates; Hominidae.
GCUGUCCCAUGUGGGCAGCUGUUGGGACCUGCCAAGCACUGUGCCUGGUGAUCUCCUUCGGGUUUGAGCCAGUCCAUGGGGAAGAGCCGUCCACCAGGCAGCCUCAGGGAGAGUGGGCGGGUGUCAAGGGAAGCCCGCAGCCCCAGCUGGCCCCCUUGUGUCUGAGCCCCCGUGACUUCCUCUGCCUCUAGGCUAUGCCCACUGGAAGGGCCAAGUGCUGAAUUCAGAUGAGCUCCAGGAGUUGUACGAAGGCCUGAGGCUGAACAACAUGAAUAAAUAUGACUACGUGCUCACAGGUUAUACGAGGGACAAGUCGUUCCUGGCCAUGGUGGUGGACAUUGUGCAGGAGCUGAAGCAGCAGAACCCCAGGCUGGUGUACGUGUGUGAUCCAGUCUUGGGUGACAAGUGGGACGGCGAAGGCUCGAUGUACGUCCCGGAGGAUCUGCUUCCCGUCUACAGAGAAAAAGUGGUGCCGCUCGCAGACAUUAUCACGCCCAACCAGUUUGAGGCCGAGUUACUGAGUGGCCGGAAGAUCCACAGCCAGGAGGAAGCCUUGCAGGUGAUGGACUUGCUGCACUCUAUGGGCCCCGACACCGUGGUCAUCACCAGCUCCGACCUGCCCUCCCCGCGGGGCAGCGACUACCUGAUUGUGCUGGGGAGUCAGAGGAGGAGGAAUCCCACUGGCUCCGUGGUGAUGGAACGCAUCCGGAUGGACAUUCGCAAGGUGGAUGCCGUCUUUGUGGGCACUGGGGACCUGUUUGCUGCCAUGCUCCUGGCGUGGACACACAAGCACCCCAAUAACCUCAAGGUGGCCUGUGAGAAGACCGUGUCUACCUUGCACCACGUUCUGCAGAGGACCAUCCAGUGUGCAAAAGCCCAGGCCGGGGAAGGAGUGAGGCCCAGCCCCAUGCAGCUGGAGCUGCGGAUGGUGCAGAGCAAAAGGGACAUCGAGGACCCAGAGAUCGUCGUGCAGGCCACGGUGCUGUGAGGGCCGCGCCACUCGCCCGUGACACGCAGCGCGUUGGUGUCUCCGUGUUUGUCCCUGUGAAAACAUGUAACGUCUGCCUUA